Homo sapiens (human) is the source of this 1495-nucleotide long non-coding RNA. The record is from Ensembl. NCBI's taxonomy places the organism in Eukaryota, Metazoa, Chordata, Mammalia, Primates, Hominidae.
ACACCCCAUGAUUUACCCCUUGCAGUGUACUUAUUACACUGUAUUGGAAUCGCUUCUUUUCUCUUUCUCUGUGAAUUUCUUGAGAGCACAGACUACAUUCUGCUUAACUUUUUAUCCCCAGCUUUCAGCACAGUGCCUGGCUGCUUUGGCGUCUCCAAGUACCUGACCUCAGCUCAACCUGUCUUGGGUUUUCUUCUCCUCCCUGACAUUGACAACCCAGCCCUCCUAGGCACAGAGAGAUGGAGCUGAGUGUGGUUUUCCUGAAAUAAAGCUUGCAUUAUGAGAGGGAAUAAACAGUGUCUGAGGCGCAUGGCCCCGGGAGAGGAGGAGAAUGGGACGGUGGUUCAGAUCUGCUGAUGUAGCUGUGGUCAGUCACUGGGGAGAAUAGGCCUGUGGAUUUCUGCUCCUCUGAGAUGGAUCCAUCACUGACUACUGAACUUGUUUUCUCAUUGGCUCAACUUAAGAAGGUUCUAGAGGAUCAAGGACGUGAAACAACCAAAACCAAAGAGCAGCUGGAGACCACUUGCCAGUGAUUAGCACGAGGGAACUGACUUCUUCCUCCUCAUGGUCCACUUGAAAUUCCAGGAAAAGGAACAGAUGUGCAAGGAAUUGCAGCCUGGAGAAACAUAGUGUAUUUGGAGACUUGCAUGUAAAUGGAUAAGUAGGUGUAGGAGGAGAAGCUGGGUCACAUUUUCCUAAAUUUUAUUCCACAAAACACUAGUUCUGUGAGACGCUCUAUGGAAAUUGGUCCCAUGAUCAGUACAUUUGGGGCAUGCUGCAUGUUGUAUUCCCUGUUGUCUUAUAUUGGAUUUCCUAAAAAUAGACUCUGAGGUGGAGACUUAUGUGCAGAAGGUCUCUUGGCGAAUGCUCCAGGGAGGCGUGCGUGUAAGGAAGUGAGACAGACCCACCUCAGGCCCCUGGGACUUCCACUGGCCAGACGCCCUGUGCCUACUUGUGUCAUGGGAUACAGGGCCCAUCUCUUCCCAUCUCCACACUCUGACCACACGCUAGUAGCUUGAAAUCAGCCAUGGUGCAACUAUUGGCAUCACAAAAAUGGACAAAUGCUUCAAACUGGGGCCUGACUUAUUGUUUUGUUGAUUGCCAGGCUUAAAAAGUGAUGGAAAGGAUGCUAAUAAUGCAUAUUAAACCAAAAAAGUGCGUCAUGUCUGUAGCUGUGACAUUGUGAAUAGCACAAGCAUUGAGGUUACAUGCUUCUGAUAUUUGAAAACCCUUAUUGGAUUCAACAAAGAAUUCACUCAUGUCAUUGUCUAUCAGGUGAAGCUCUGAUGCACAUUUUUUGCUUUCACUUUUGCCUUAUUCAUUAAUAUAAACAGAAUGUCAAUCAACCUUCAUGUUGUGUCUACGCUCAAUCAUCCCUGAUGACCCUACGCUGACUACAGAUGCAGAAUUCAGCAAAAACCAAUGAAAGCAUUCGGUGAGAAUCAAUGGCUAUAUGGAGCUUACAAUAAACCGUAUUGUGUAUUUUAUUAUUACG